This 549-nucleotide ribosomal RNA is filed under the name uncultured archaeon. RNAcentral's name for it is "bacterial SSU rRNA". It matches the Rfam family "Archaeal small subunit ribosomal RNA", at positions 275 to 824 of the family's 1478-position model. The record is from RNAcentral.
UGUGAGAGCAAGAGCCCGGAGAUGGAUUCUGAGACACGAAUCCAGGCCCUACGGGGUGCAGCAGGCGCGAAAACUUUACAAUGCCGGCAACGGCGAUAAGGGGACCUCGAGUGCCAGGUUACAAAUCUGGCUGUCGUGAUGCCUAAAAAGCAUUGCAUAGCAAGGGCCGGGCAAGACCGGUGCCAGCCGCCGCGGUAACACCGGCGGCUCGAGUGGUAACCGUUAUUAUUGGGUCUAAAGGGUCUGUAGCCGGCCGGAUAAGUCUCUUGAGAAAUCCAGCAGCUCAACUGUUGGGCUUUCAGGAGAUACUGUUCGGCUCGAGGCCGGGAGAGGUGAGAGGUACUUCAGGGGUAGGGGUGAAAUCUUGUAAUCCUUGAAGGACCACCAGUGGCGAAGGCGUCUCACCAGAACGGACCUGACGGCAAGGGACGAAAGCUAGGGGCACGAACCGGAUUAGAUACCCGGGUAGUCCCAGCUGUAAACGAUACUCGCUAGGUGUCGGCCACGGUGCGACCGUUGUCGGUGCCGUAGGGAAGCCGUGAAGCGAGC